Molecule: ribosomal RNA, 450 nt
Filed under: uncultured bacterium
Lineage: Bacteria
Description: SSU rRNA
Rfam family: Bacterial small subunit ribosomal RNA
Source: RNAcentral
AGGAUGAACGCUGGCGGUCUGCUUAACACAUGCAAGUCGAACGGAGUAGCAAUACUUAGUGGCGGACGGGUGAGUAACGCGUGAGAAUCUACCUUCAGGACGGAGACAACAGUUGGAAACGACUGCUAACCCCCGAUGUACUGAGAAGGCAAAUAUUUAUAGCCUGAAGAAGAGCUCGCGUCCGAUUAGCUAGUUGGAGAGGUAAAAAGCUCACCAAGGCGACGAUCGGUAGCUGGUCUGAGAGGACGAUCAGCCACACUGGGACUGAGACACGGCCCAGACUCCUACGGGAGGCAGCAGUGGGGAAUUUUCCGCAAUGGGCGAAAGCCUGACGGAGCAAGACCGCGUGGGGGAAGAAGGCUCUUGGGUUGUAAAACCCCCUUUUCUCUGGGAAGAACACAAUGACGGUACCAGAGGAAUCAGCAUCGGCUAACUCGUGCCAGCAGCCGC